AAAAGUCGUAACAAGGUUUCCGUAGGUGAACCUGCGGAAGGAUCAUUAACGAGUUAUUGAACAGGUUGUAGCUGGCCUUCAGGGGCAUGUGCACGCCUGGCUCAUCCACUCUUCAACCUCUGUGCACUUAUUGUAGGUCGGUGGAAGGGUAAGUCUAAGUGAUUAGACUUGCUUGGAAGCCUUCCUAUGUUUUUACAAACGCUUCAGUUUAAGAAUGUAUCUCUGCGUAUAACGCAUUUAUAUACAACUUUCAGCAACGGAUCUCUUGGCUCUCGCAUCGAUGAAGAACGCAGCGAAAUGCGAUAAGUAAUGUGAAUUGCAGAAUUCAGUGAAUCAUCGAAUCUUUGAACGCACCUUGCGCUCCCUGGUAUUCCGGGGAGCAUGCCUGUUUGAGUGUCAUGGUAUUCUCAACCUUCAUAACUUUUGUUAUCGAAGGCUUGGAUUUGGAGGUUGUGCUGGCUUCUCGUCAAGUCGGCUCCUCUUAAAAGCAUUAGCGUGAGUGUAACGGAUCGCUUCGGUGUGAUAAUUAUCUGCGCCGUGGUCGUGAAGUAACACAAGCUUGCGCUUCUAACCGUCCUUCAGCUGGACAAAUUUACUCUGACAUCUGACCUCAAAUCAGGUAGGACUACCCGCUGAACUUAA
Molecule: ribosomal RNA, 642 nt
Filed under: Phanerochaete aff. sordida I
Lineage: Eukaryota; Fungi; Basidiomycota; Agaricomycetes; Polyporales; Phanerochaetaceae
Description: eukaryotic LSU rRNA
Rfam family: 5.8S ribosomal RNA (bases 246-399)
Source: RNAcentral